This 32-nucleotide transfer RNA is filed under the name Rattus satarae. RNAcentral's name for it is "partial tRNA-Pro". Lineage: Eukaryota; Metazoa; Chordata; Mammalia; Rodentia; Muridae. The record is from RNAcentral.
CAAGAAGUAGUUUAAUUAGAUAUCAGCUUUGG